UCCCAUGUGGUCUAUAUGAUUCGUGGCUUUCACCCACGCGGCCCGGGUUCGAUUCCCGGCAUGGGAA
Molecule: transfer RNA, 67 nt
Filed under: Anisakis simplex (herring worm)
Lineage: Eukaryota; Metazoa; Nematoda; Chromadorea; Rhabditida; Anisakidae
Rfam family: tRNA
About the family: Transfer RNA (tRNA) molecules are approximately 80 nucleotides in length. Their secondary structure includes four short double-helical elements and three loops (D, anti-codon, and T loops).
Source: Rfam by way of RNAcentral